CCUACGGGGGGCAGCAGUCGAGAAUCAUUCACAAUGGGGGAAACCCUGAUGGUGCGACGCCGCGUGGGGGAAUGAAGGUCUUCGGAUUGUAAACCCCUGUCAUGUGGGAGCAAAUUAAAAAGAUAGUACCACAAGAGGAAGAGACGGCUAACUCUGUGCCAGCAGCCGCGGUAAUACAGAGGUCUCAAGCGUUGUUCGGAAUCACUGGGCGUAAAGCGUGCGUAGGCUGUUUCGUAAGUCGUGUGUGAAAGGCGCGGGCUUAACCCGCGGACGGCACAUGAUACUGCGAGACUAGAGUGAUGGAGGGGGACCCGGAAUGCUCGGUGUAGCAGUGAAAUGCGUAGAUAUCGGGAGGAACACUCGUGGCGAAGGCGGGUUCCUGGACAUUAACUGACGCUGAGGCACGAAGGCCAGGGGAGCGAAAGGGAUUAGAUACCCUGGUAGUC
RNAcentral lists this ribosomal RNA (446 nucleotides) under uncultured bacterium. RNAcentral's name for it is "partial 16S ribosomal RNA". It matches the Rfam family "Bacterial small subunit ribosomal RNA", at positions 338 to 795 of the family's 1533-position model. The record is from RNAcentral.